AAGGAUCAUUACUGUGAUUUAGUACUACACUGCGUGAGCGGAACGAAAACAACAACACCUAAAAUGUGGAAUAUAGCAUAUAGUCGACAAGAGAAAUCUACGAAAAAACAAACAAAACUUUCAACAACGGAUCUCUUGGUUCUCGCAUCGAUGAAGAGCGCAGCGAAAUGCGAUACCUAGUGUGAAUUGCAGCCAUCGUGAAUCAUCGAGUUCUUGAACGCACAUUGCGCCCCUCGGCAUUCCGGGGGGCAUGCCUGUUUGAGCGUCGUUUCCAUCUUGCGCGUGCGCAGAGUUGGGGGAGCGGAGCGGACGACGUGUAAAGAGCGUCGGAGCUGCGACUCGCCUGAAAGGGAGCGAAGCUGGCCGAGCGAACUAGACUUUUUUUCAGGGACGCUUGGCGGCCGAGAGCGAGUGUUGCGAGACAACAAAAAGCUCGACCUCAAAUCAGGUAGGAAUACCCGCUGAACUUAA
This 471-nucleotide ribosomal RNA is filed under the name Pichia kudriavzevii. RNAcentral describes it as "eukaryotic LSU rRNA". The stretch from base 116 to 268 matches the Rfam family "5.8S ribosomal RNA". RNAcentral also lists the same sequence under 1 other name. Lineage: Eukaryota; Fungi; Ascomycota; Pichiomycetes; Pichiales; Pichiaceae. The record is from RNAcentral.